RNAcentral lists this non-coding RNA (26 nucleotides) under Rattus norvegicus (Norway rat). The record is from RNAcentral. Lineage: Eukaryota; Metazoa; Chordata; Mammalia; Rodentia; Muridae.
UGCCAACAGUCAAUAGUUUGGGGUGU